GCAGCCCCCAGCCCCAAAACCCCCAGGACAGGGCAGGGGUCCCCAAACCCCCCAGGACAGGUCAGGGGUCCCCAAAACCCCCAGGACAGGGCAGGGGUCCCCAAAACCCCCAGGACAGGGCAGGGGUCCCCAAACCCCCUGAGGGCCCUCAUUCCCCAAACCCCUGUCCCUGUGGGAAGGGUCCCCAGGUGAAUGUUCCCUGCCCAGGUGAGGGUCCCCAGGUGAAUGUUCCCUGCCCAGGUGAGGGUCCCCAGCCAGGUGAAUUCCCCUGCCC
Long non-coding RNA from Poecile atricapillus (Black-capped chickadee), 274 nucleotides. RefSeq lists it as uncharacterized. The record is from RefSeq and is a predicted model, not a curated record. NCBI's taxonomy places the organism in Eukaryota, Metazoa, Chordata, Aves, Passeriformes, Paridae. The transcript has 3 exons.